UGGGGAAUUUUGGACAAUGGGCGCAAGCCUGAUCCAGCAAUACCGCGUGCAGGACGAAGGCCUUCGGGUUGUAAACUGCUUUCGUACGUGACGAUUAUGACGGUAACGUGAGAAGAAGCACCGGCUAACUCCGUGCCAGCAGCCGCGGUAAUACGGAGGGUGCGAGCGUUAAUCGGAAUUACUGGGCGUAAAGGGCGCGUAGGCGGCCCAUCAAGUCAGGCGUGAAAGCCCCGGGCUCAACCUGGGAAUUGCGCUUGAGACUGGUGAGCUAGAGUUCGGGAGAGGUGAGUGGAAUUCCCAGUGUAGAGGUGAAAUUCGUAGAUAUUGGGAAGAACACCGGUGGCGAAGGCGGCUCACUGGACCGAUACUGACGCUGAGGCGCGAAAGCGUGGGGAGCAAACAGG
This 404-nucleotide ribosomal RNA is filed under the name uncultured bacterium. RNAcentral's name for it is "bacterial SSU rRNA". It matches the Rfam family "Bacterial small subunit ribosomal RNA", at positions 355 to 776 of the family's 1533-position model. The record is from RNAcentral.